Non-coding RNA from Oryctolagus cuniculus (rabbit), 3921 nucleotides. Lineage: Eukaryota; Metazoa; Chordata; Mammalia; Lagomorpha; Leporidae. The record is from RefSeq and is a predicted model, not a curated record.
GCGCACUGCCACGGGCCCGGGGGACUGGGGGACCAGGGGCCUUGCUGCUGCUGGCGUCUGGGUUUGGCCCAAUCAUUGAAAACAGAACUGAAGAGGGCGGAGCAGGCUGGUGAAGGUGGAUAAAGUGGUGACCCCUGUUUGGCCCCACCUUGUUUUCCAUCUCUUCUAAUUAACCGGUCUCUGGGGUCCAUUCAAAUUCAGAUGCAGUUUUAUCUCAGCCCCCCAGCCGCUGGGGGCAGCCAGAGUAGGGCUGGGAUUCUUGUUGGCUCUGACACGGCCCUCAGGACCCCUCAGCCUCCCCCUGGGGCCCAGCCGAGCUCCAGCGACAGCCUCGGUGUGGGGGGAACCUUUAUUCUACCAAGGGCCAUUUGGCUAUUUAUGACAUCCUUCGCAGCCACACAGAAAUGAACCUGCUACAGACGUAUUGAAUUUCAAGUCCUGCCUGCACUUGUGGCAGAGCAGACCCAGCGGGCCAGACCUUCCUACCCUGAGCUAACGCCCUGUCCCGGCCUCUUCCUCCCUUGCGCUCCAGAGUCUCCAUGGCCUCCUGGUAGCUGCCGGCGACUGCUGGCUGACCCAGCCUGAGUACCUGCACCUCUGGCUGCUACCUGGAGAAAGUUCUCAGCCCUGAGAGAGGAGUGACCAGCAGCCCAAGACUCCCGGGUCGCCCUGAGGGCAGAAACCCACCUAGUACCUUGGCCUCCCCUUCCAGUCACCUGCUAAUGAUCUACAAGCUCCACAGGCCCAGCCUUCCCCGGGGCGGCCUGCGUGGGAGGGGUCAGCAGUGCGUCCCCCCCUUAUCCCUCCCUUCCCGGAAGGAUUUCCAAAGGAAAACGGAAGCAAGAUCCCCGUAGGCAGGGGUGAAGAUGGGUGAUGGAUGAGGGCCUCCAGGGACACUGGCUUUGUGUCCCCAGAGCUUGUGCAGGGCCCGGCGUGUCCCCUUGGUCUUCCUGACUCUGAGUGCCCCACGAAGGGAGGCUGCGCUGCCUCUCACUGGCUGCCACGCGGGUGGUCGCACAGCAGCACCGCGAGUGUGUGUGAGUGAGCCAAGCAGGAUCCAGGAGUCCUUUGAUGACAUCAGUGUGUGGCUGCUCAGGUCCUAAGUAAAUCCUCCUCCUGUCUCCAGCACUUUUGUCAGGCAUUUCACUGUUUGCCGGCAUCUCUGGGGACAGGAAACCGUGCAGUGUCUCGGCCUUGGACACCACCUUUGUUGUGGGGCUGCCCGAGGCCUCCACGUCAUUGGCCACAAACAGAAGCAUCUCUAGAGAUUCAGUGUCCAGCAGGGAGACUGCCCCGCUGGAGGACGGGAGAGUGCGAAUGGCUCAGGUCGUCCCUGGUCUCUGUGCGAAGCCUCCAGCCUGGGGGCAGAGACGCUGCGGCACCUGUGGCCAGGGCCCCCCAAGAGCAGCCGCGGCCUUGGGGAACUUGCUGUGGCAGACCUUGUGCUUGGGCUGGAGCGGGGAGACUGAGGCAGGACCACAGCGGGGUCCCUCCUGGAAGGCUCUGUGUGGUUGGAGAGGCAGAACCGGGAGCAGAUGCGUUCCCCAGGACAGGAGCAGCCUCAGGCCUCCGCAGCGGGUCGGGGCCACCACGGGAGCCACCGGAGCCUGAGCUGGAAAGGCUGGGAGUGGGGCUGGGCUUGGAGCCGCGGAGGAAGCGACAGGCCCCGAGGGAGGCGGGCGGGAAUGACUGCAGCUGCAGGUGAUAAACCGCCAGGCCGCUCGGUUGUUAACAUGUUGGGGUGAAUUGACCGCAGUUCUGGGCCCUGCAGGGGUGCCUUGCACCUGGGGGCCCCUCCCUAGCCAGCAGAUGAGCCUGGGAAGAGUGCCCAUCAGGCUCCCUGCCUCCUGCUGAGCUAUAAAAGGAGAGGGUUUCAGUCCAAGUCGGCCUGGAAGUUUCCACGUUGUCUGCGCCCACAGUAGUGUCAGAGCUGCCCACAGUGAACAAAAAGCAGGCGGGACGGCCCCUUAGCGAAUCUCCUUCAGGACUGACGGCACAGGACAGCAGCCGCAGCCGUGCUGGGUUCUGGCUGCCCCGCGUCAGAUCUCAGACCAGUCUAGUCUCGCCUCCUGUGUCGUCCCCACCCCACCCCCCACGUUCCCCCUCAGGUUUGGAUGCCAGGGGACAAACCUGAAGAGCCUGUAAGGGGGAGCUCAUGUCCGCCACUGCCCCCUGCCCCACCCCUAGCCCGGCCUGCUGUGCCUUCUGUCCACCUGUGUACACGCGGCAGCUGGCCGACCUGUGAGUUUGUUUUCUUUGAAUCAGUUCGGUCCGGCUGCGGGUUCCUGUUCCGUCUGCAGUCUGUUCCGCGCCCCUUUCCUUACGUUUGGUGCUGCGUCCCGGCGUGGUCGGUCCCAGGUCCCGGCGUGGCCCCGCCCCAGGUCCCAGGUCUCCCCGUCCCAGGUCCCGGCGUGGCCCCGUCCCAGGUCCCGGUGUCGCCCCGGCCGGGCGCUUCUCCUGUCCUGGCUGGGCGGUGAAUUUCCUCUUUUGCAGACUGAAAACAUAGAAUUAAACGAACUCCUCCCCGAGGGUCUCUCUAGAAGACUGUGACACCCUUGUAGUGUCUGACCCUGACGGCCCUUAACGUGUGUAAAAGGCACAGGAAUUUGCUCAGCUCCAGGGCUUUGACUUGCUGUGGGCAGCUCCCGAGAGAUGCCUGCAGGCAAAGCUCCCCCGUCUGGGCCCGGGUAGGGCGCUCAGAGCUGUGAGGUGGCCUUGGUUGUCCCAAACGGACUGUAGGAUCUGUCUUGCUGUGGGAGAGGCCUUGGUUGGAUGGGUUCCCUUCCCCCACGUGCCUCUCCACUCACCUCGGGCGCAGAACAUCCCCGACAGUUGCCCUGCCGGCUGGGGGAGGCCAUGGCCCGUGUGCUGUGUUGGCCUGCAGGACCUGGCCUUGUGCCUGGCCAUGCCUCCUAGUGGACUGAAGUAUGUUGUCUUUGUCAGGUACAAUUGAGCUUUGGGGCUUCGUUGUCUGUCUUUAAGAUUUAUUUAUUUAUUUGAAAGGCAGAGUGACAGAAAGGGGGAGAGAGAUCAUCUUCCAUCCAUUGGCAUUGGUUCACUCCCCAAAUGGCCACAACAGCUAGGUCUGGGCCAGGCCGGAGCCAGGACAGGAACCCCAUCCGGGUCUUCCACGUGGGUGGCAGGGGCUCAGGCACUGGAACCAUCGCCCGCUGCCUUCAUGUUUGCAGGAAACCGUGUCAGAAGCAGAGCAGCCGUCCCUCUCGUGAGGGAUGCUAGCAUCGAAGCAGUGCUUAACCCACAGUGCCACACCAGCCCCGAGGGAGCACACACCAGCCCCAGGGGUGCCCACACCAGCCCCGAGGGUGCACACACCAUCCCCGAGGGUGCACACACCAGCCCCGAGGGUAUACGCACACCAGCCCCGAGGGUGUACACACACCAGCCCCGAGGAUAUACACACACCAGCCCCGAGGGUGCCCACACCAGCCCCGAGGGAGAACACACCAGCCCCGAGGGUGAACACACACCAGCCCUGAGGAUAUACACACACCAGCCCCGAGGGAGCCCACACCAGCCCCGAGGGAGCCCACACCAGCCCCGAGGGUGAACACACACCAGCCCCGAGGGUGAACACACACCAGCCCCGAGGGUGUACACACACCAGCCCCGAGGGAGCACACACCAGCCCCGAGGGUGCCCACACCAGCCCCGAGGGAGAACACACCAGCCCCGAGGGUGAACACACACCAGCCCCGAGGGAGAACACACCAGCCCCGAGGGUGCCCACACCAGCCCCGAGGGAGAACACACCAGCCCCGAGGAUAUACACACACCAGCCCCGAGGGUGCCCACACCAGCCCCAGGGGUGCCCACACCAGCCCCGAGGGUGAACACACACCAGCCCCGAGGGUGUACACACACCAGCCCCGAGGGAGCUCACACCAGCCCCGAGGGUGUACA